This 955-nucleotide ribosomal RNA is filed under the name Biston falcata. RNAcentral's name for it is "partial 16S ribosomal RNA". The record is from RNAcentral. Lineage: Eukaryota; Metazoa; Arthropoda; Insecta; Lepidoptera; Geometridae.
AUAGUUAAUUAGUAUUGUGAAAGAAUUUUGAAAUAUUAUGAAAAAUAAAAUUUUUAGAAAGUAAUUUUUAUUUAUUGUAUCUUGUGUAUCAGAGUUUAUUAAAAAUUUUUAAUUUAUAAAUUAAUUUCUCGAAUUUAAAAGAGUUAAAUAAUUAUUAAAGUUAUUGUAGCAAAAUUAUUUUAAAUAAUUAUUUAGAAAUGAAAUGUUAAUCGUUUUUAAAUAUAUCUAGUUUUUAUAGAAAAAAAUUUAAUUUUAAAUUUAAAAAUUAUUUAAUUAAUUUAUUAAUUAAAUAAUUAUUUUAAUUUUAUAAUUUAAGGGAUAAGCUUUAAAUUAAAAUUUUAUAAUAUUAAAUUUUUAUUUUGAAAAUUUUAUAAUUUAUAUUGUUAAUAAAUUUUAUUUUGUUAUAAAUAAUUUCAUUUUUUUAAAAUUUAAAUUUUAUUUAAUUUUUUAUAUAAAAUUUAUUUAUAAUUAUAUAAAGUUAAUUAUAAUGAUAAAAUUAGUAUAUUAUUUAAUAUUAAAUUAAAAUUAAUUUUUGAUUAAUAAUUAAAUUAAUUAAAAGGAAUUCGGCAAAUAUUUAUUUUCACUUGUUUAUCAAAAACAUGUCUUUUUGUUAUUUAAUUUAAAGUCUAAUCUGCCCACUGAUUUAUAAAAAUUGAAGGGCUGCAGUAUAUUGACUGUACAAAGGUAGCAUAAUCAUUAGUCUCUUAAUUGGUGACUUGUAUGAAAGAUUGGAUGAAAAAUAUACUGUCUCUUAAUUAAUAUAUAGAAUUUAAUUUUUUAUUUAAAAAGUUAAAAUAAUUUAAAAAGACGAGAAGACCCUAUAGAGUUUAAUAAAUUAUUUUAUGAAAGUUUUAUUUAUAAUUACUAAUAAUUUUAUAAAUUUAUUUAUUUUGUUGGGGUGAUAAAAAAAUAAAUUUAACUUUUUUUAAGUAAUUUACAUGAAUAAGUGAUUAAU